AGAGUUUGAUCCUGGCUCAGAACGAACGCUGGCGGCAGGCUUAACACAUGCAAGUUGAACGGGAUUUGUUAGGUGCUUGCAUCUAACGAUGAGAGUAGCGCACUGGUGAGUAACACGUGGGAACAUGCCUUUUGGUGGGGGACAACAGGAGGAAACUUCUGCUAAUACCGCAUAAGCCCUGAGGGGGAAAGAAUUUUUUGCCGAAAGAUUGGCCCGCGGAAGAUUAGGUAGUUGGUGGGGUAAAGGCCUACCAAGCCGACGAUCUAUAGCUGGUCUGAGAGGACGAACAGCCACAUUGGAACUGAGACACGGUCCAGACUCCUACGGGAGGCAGCAGUGAGGAAUAUUGGGCAAUGGAGGAAACUCUGACCCAAGCCAUGCCGCGUGAGUGAAGAAGGUUUUCGAAUUGUAAAGCUCUUUCGGAUGUGACGAUGAUGACGGUAACAUCUAAAGAAGCCCCGGCAAACUUCGUGCCAGCAGCCGC
Molecule: ribosomal RNA, 484 nt
Filed under: uncultured bacterium
Lineage: Bacteria
Description: bacterial SSU rRNA
Rfam family: Bacterial small subunit ribosomal RNA
Source: RNAcentral